This 253-nucleotide ribosomal RNA is filed under the name uncultured bacterium. Its description in RNAcentral is "partial 16S ribosomal RNA". It matches the Rfam family "Bacterial small subunit ribosomal RNA", at positions 524 to 776 of the family's 1533-position model. The record is from RNAcentral.
UACGGAGGGUGCAAGCGUUAUCCGGAUUUACUGGGUUUAAAGGGUGCGUAGGUGGGUCUGUAAGUCAGUGGUGAAAUCUUCAAGCUUAACUUGGAAACUGCCAUUGAUACUAUAGGUCUUGAAUUAUCUGGAGGUGAGCGGAAUAUGUCAUGUAGCGGUGAAAUGCUUAGAUAUGACAUAGAACACCAAUUGCGAAGGCAGCUCACUACGGAUUUAUUGACACUGAGGCACGAAAGCGUGGGGAUCAAACAGG